UAGAUAUGAAAACUACAAAAACUUCAAAAUCCUUGUAGGACCCUAGCAUAAUUGGAACUCUUGAGGUAAAAGCAACAAAUAUGCAUGACCUUUUCCUUGAAAGAAAAAUAAGAGUUCACCCUUCUCAAUCAACUAGUAAGGUCGUACCCAGUGCACAAGGCUCCUGCUUUACACAGGGUUUGGGAGAGGUGAAUGUCGGCUAGCCUUACCCCCAUUUAUGGAGAGGCUGCUCCCAAGUCUCGAACCCGAGACCUACCGCUCAUGAGCGAAGGCACUUGUCAUCGCACCAAGUGCGACCUCUACCCUUCUCAAUCAACUAGUAAGAUCGCAAAAUAAUUUCUUUUAUACACCAGGCCAUUUUGAUUCCCAGUGGCAUAAGUAUCGAAUUAGUUUGCUUACUCAACUUAUUAGGAACAAGACCUAUAAAAGUCCUAACUCCUAAAGACAUGGAUGUAGUUGUUUCAUGGGUAGUUGAGUAAGUGGUGAGACGCAUAAAAGUAUGAAAGCUAUCACAUCAAAGCUUACAUGAAGUUAUCUCUCUUAUAAAAAAAGGGCCUAUAUUCAUCUAGCACACUCCCCUCCCUUC
This 586-nucleotide long non-coding RNA is filed under the name Malus domestica (apple). RNAcentral's name for it is "long non-coding RNA (MDOM_LNC001251)". The record is from RNAcentral. Lineage: Eukaryota; Viridiplantae; Streptophyta; Magnoliopsida; Rosales; Rosaceae.